This 730-nucleotide ribosomal RNA is filed under the name uncultured bacterium. Its description in RNAcentral is "bacterial SSU rRNA". It matches the Rfam family "Bacterial small subunit ribosomal RNA", at positions 771 to 1501 of the family's 1533-position model. The record is from RNAcentral.
AACAGGAUUAGAUACCCUGGUAGUCCAUGCCGUAAACGAUGAGUGCUAAGUGUUGGAGGGUUUCCGCCCUUCAGUGCUGCAGCUAACGCAUUAAGCACUCCGCCUGGGGAGUACGACCGCAAGGUUGAAACUCAAAGGAAUUGACGGGGGCCCGCACAAGCGGUGGAGCAUGUGGUUUAAUUCGAAGCAACGCGAAGAACCUUACCAGGUCUUGACAUCCUUUGACCACUCUAGAGAUAGAGCUUUCCCUUCGGGGACAAAGUGACAGGUGGUGCAUGGUUGUCGUCAGCUCGUGUCGUGAGAUGUUGGGUUAAGUCCCGCAACGAGCGCAACCCUUAUUAUUAGUUGCCAGCAUUCAGUUGGGCACUCUAGUGAGACUGCCGGUGAUAAACCGGAGGAAGGUGGGGAUGACGUCAAAUCAUCAUGCCCCUUAUGACCUGGGCUACACACGUGCUACAAUGGAUGGUACAACGAGUCGCAAAACCGCGAGGUUAAGCUAAUCUCUUAAAGCCAUUCUCAGUUCGGAUUGUAGGCUGCAAUUCGCCUACAUGAAGCCGGAAUCGCUAGUAAUCGCGGAUCAGAACGCCGCGGUGAAUACGUUCCCGGGCCUUGUACACACCGCCCGUCACACCACGAGAGUUUGUAACACCCAAAGUCGGUGAGGUAACCUUCGGGAGCCAGCCGCCUAAGGUGGGACAGAUAAUUGGGGUGAAGUCGUAACAAGGUAACC